UACAGAGACUGCGAGCGUUAUUCGGAUUCAUUGGGCGUAAAGGGCGCGUAGGUGGCCAAGUGUGUGAGCCGUGAAAGCCCGGGGCUCAACCCCGGAAUUGCACCUCAAACUACAUGGCUAGAGUACUGGAGAGGGUAACGGAAUUCAUGGUGUAGCAGUGAAAUGCGUAGAUAUCAUGAGGAACACCAGAGGCGAAGGCGGUUACCUGGACAGUUACUGACGCUCAGGCACGAAAGCGUGGGGAGCAAAAGGG
Molecule: ribosomal RNA, 253 nt
Filed under: uncultured bacterium
Lineage: Bacteria
Description: partial 16S ribosomal RNA
Rfam family: Bacterial small subunit ribosomal RNA
Source: RNAcentral